CAAGGAUAGUGAAACUGCAAUUGCCUCGCUCCAGAGCUCAAAGGAGUAUUUAGAGAAGCAGAUGGCUGAGGUGGAGAACAACUUGAGGGAGCUGUUGCAACAAGAUCCAGGUAUAGCUCGCCAGAUUAUGUCUAUGUCUGUAGCAUAGGGCAGCCUCUCUCCCCUUGAAAUUGACAUUAGCUCAGCUUUGUGUAUUGAAUGUUCUUGUUCUUGGGUCAGAAGAAUUUGGCUGGUGUGGUGUUAGUGAGUUGUGAUUCUACUUGGUUGGCUUCUAU
Molecule: unclassified non-coding RNA, 275 nt
Filed under: Hevea brasiliensis (rubber tree)
Lineage: Eukaryota; Viridiplantae; Streptophyta; Magnoliopsida; Malpighiales; Euphorbiaceae
Source: RNAcentral